Molecule: ribosomal RNA, 358 nt
Filed under: uncultured bacterium
Lineage: Bacteria
Description: partial 16S ribosomal RNA
Rfam family: Bacterial small subunit ribosomal RNA
Source: RNAcentral
CCUACGGGAGGCAGCAGUGAGGAAUAUUUGUCAAUGGCCGAGAGGCUGAACCAGCCAAGUCGCGUGAGGGAAGAAUGUCCUAUGGAUUGUAAACCUCUUUUGUCAGGGAGCAAAGUCACCCACGUGUGGGGGUUGGAGAGUACCUGAAGAAAAAGCAUCGGCUAACUCCGUGCCAGCAGCCGCGGUAAUACGGAGGAUGCGAGCGGUAUCCGGAUUUAUUGGGUUUAAAGGGGGCGUAGGUGGGUUAUCAAGUACGCGGUAAAAUCGUGGAGCUAAACUCCAUCCAGCCGUUGAUACUGGUGAUCUUGAGUGUGCGAGAAGUAUGCGGAAUGCGUGGUGUAGCGGUGACAUGCUUAGA